CAAUCAGUAAAGCUACAGUGUAUCAGGUUACUGUUAUUCUUUAUAGUUCUUCGGUUUUGUUAUGACCAAGUUUGUGGAUCUUAUCGCCUGCAACACUGGGGGUGUAUCUUGGAGCCACCGUGACGGUGACUGCAUGAGCUGGUUAUGUCCGACGUUACAUAACAGGGAACAAGUUGCAGUCUAUUCUAUUGGUCAUGUCAUCUGCAACGGAGGUGUAUUGGAGUCUUUUCUUGUGAUUGCAUUAUAGAGGUGGUAACAACAGGUGCCACUUCUGCUUUGACGCUUCUACUGUAGAAAACAACGGUUUGCACCCGGUGCAGACAGUGUGCGGCUGACAGCGA
Long non-coding RNA from Labeo rohita (rohu), 341 nucleotides. RefSeq lists it as uncharacterized. NCBI's taxonomy places the organism in Eukaryota, Metazoa, Chordata, Actinopteri, Cypriniformes, Cyprinidae. The transcript is spliced from 3 exons. The record is from RefSeq and is a predicted model, not a curated record.